RNAcentral lists this ribosomal RNA (478 nucleotides) under uncultured bacterium. RNAcentral's name for it is "partial 16S ribosomal RNA". It matches the Rfam family "Bacterial small subunit ribosomal RNA", at positions 28 to 507 of the family's 1533-position model. The record is from RNAcentral.
GAUGAACGCUGGCGGCGUGCCUAAUACAUGCAAGUCGAGCGAACAGAUAAGGAGCUUGCUCCUUUGACGUUAGCGGCGGACGGGUGAGUAACACGUGGAUAACCUACCUAUAAGACUGGGAUAACUUCGGGAAACCGGAGCUAAUACCGGAUAAGAUUUUGAACCGCAUGGUUCAAUAGUGAAAGACGGCCUUGCUGUCACUUAUAGAUGGAUCCGCGCCGUAUUAGCUAGUUGGUAAGGUAACGGCUUACCAAGGCAACGAUACGUAGCCGACCUGAGAGGGUGACCGGCCACACUGGGACUGAGACACGGCCCAGACUCCUACGGGAGGCAGCAGUGGGGAAUAUUGCACAAUGGGCGAAAGCCUGAUGCAGCGACGCCGCGUGAGGGAUGACGGCCUUCGGGUUGGAAACCUCUUUCAGCAGGGAAGAAGCCACAAGUGACAGUACCUGCAGAAGAAGCGCCGGCUAACUACGUG